This 471-nucleotide ribosomal RNA is filed under the name uncultured bacterium. RNAcentral's name for it is "bacterial SSU rRNA". It matches the Rfam family "Bacterial small subunit ribosomal RNA", at positions 355 to 825 of the family's 1533-position model. The record is from RNAcentral.
UGGGGAAUCUUGCGCAAUGGGCGAAAGCCUGACGCAGCGACGCCGCGUGAGUGAUGAAGGCCUUCGGGUUGUAAAGCUCUGUGGGGAGAGAAGAAUAAGUGCGGGCUAAUACCCCGCAUGAUGACGGUAUCUCCUUAGCAAGCACCGGCUAACUCUGUGCCAGCAGCCGCGGUAAGACAGAGGGUGCAAACGUUGUUCGGAAUUACUGGGCGUAAAGCGAGUGUAGGCGGUUUGGUAAGUCGGAUGUGAAAGCCCCGGGCUCAACCCGGGAAGUGCAUUCGAUACUGCCAAGCUAGAGUAUCGGAGAGGUUGGUGGAAUUCUCGGUGUAGAGGUGAAAUUCGUAGAUAUCGAGAGGAACACCGGUGGCGAAGGCGGCCAACUGGACGAAUACUGACGCUGAGACUCGAAAGCGUGGGGAGCAAACAGGAUUAGAUACCCUAGUAGUCCCUGAGCGGGCUGGCAAGGCGCAU